GUGCCCUUGCUCGGAAUCCUGGGCCGACAGUUGAUAAAAGAAAAUUCCAUUGUGGUCUAGUUUUCUCCCUUUAAUACCUUUACAAGCGCUGAAGAAAAAAAAUUAAAGAACAAAGAAUCAUAGCUCGAAUAAGUCAGUAAAGGGAACUACUAAGUAAUUAACAAAGGAAUUGCGCCUAGAACAUAUUACAGGCGCGUGUACUGCUCUUGGUCACAUUUAUCAAUUUAUGCAAUCUCUCCUAACAAACUUCCUAAGAUAGAAGGGAACAGAAGGAAUAUGUAUCAAAGAAUCAUUCUAUCUUCAAUUACGCGAAGAGCCUAUAUAUGGGUUCACUAAUCAUCUCCGUGUGUGAGGUGUCUACAAAACACUGGAAGCCGAUCAACGGACCCAAGCUGUCCGUCCGAGCGUAGCUAGUGGCCGGCGCCCCUUCGGCUGGGCCAGGCCGGCAGCCUCGCGGUGAGCAUCUCCACCGUCUCCCUCGCCCUCUCCGCCGCGGGGUACGCGAGCAAGUACGCUCCGCCGUCUCCGCCCCUCUCCGCCGGCGUCGGUCGCGCCGCGCCGACAAGGCCCGCUCCGGCGACCAGACCGACGAGCACGAGCACGGCGAGAAGAAGAACCAGGCGCCGUCCCGCAGAUGCCAUCACAGAACUGAAAGGUGGCGUUGGUGUAGCCCUGCAGCUGAAUUCGGGACAGAACGUACCCGAGGCGCGCGAGUUUGCACUCCUGGCUAUGUUCGUAGUUUGGUUUUUGCUGGCCUGAUCGUGUUUGCGACGGG
RNAcentral lists this long non-coding RNA (775 nucleotides) under Hordeum vulgare. RNAcentral's name for it is "long non-coding RNA (HVUL_LNC013525)". Lineage: Eukaryota; Viridiplantae; Streptophyta; Magnoliopsida; Poales; Poaceae. The record is from RNAcentral.